GACGAACGCUGGCGGCGUGCUUAACACAUGCAAGUCGAACGGAAAGGCCCUUCGGGGUACUCGAGUGGCGAACGGGUGAGUAACACGUGGGUGAUCUGCCCUGCACUUUGGGAUAAGCCUGGGAAACUGGGUCUAAUACCGAAUAGGACCACGCGCUUCAUGGCGUGUGGUGGCAAGCUUUUGCGGUGUGGGAUGGGCCCGCGGCCUAUCAGCUUGUUGGUGGGGUAAUGGCCUACCAAGGCGACGACGGGUAGCCGGCCUGAGAGUGUGACCGGCCACACUGGGACUGAGAGACGGCCCAGACUCCUACGGGAGGCAGUAGGGGGGAAUAUUGCACAAUGGGGGCAAGCCUGAUGCAGCGACGCCGCGUGAGGGAUGACGGCCUUCGGGUUGUAAACCUCUUUCAAUAGGGACGAAGCGCAAGUGACGGUACCUAUAGAAGAAGCACCGGCCAACUACGUG
This 462-nucleotide ribosomal RNA is filed under the name uncultured bacterium. Its description in RNAcentral is "partial 16S ribosomal RNA". It matches the Rfam family "Bacterial small subunit ribosomal RNA", at positions 28 to 507 of the family's 1533-position model. The record is from RNAcentral.